This 76-nucleotide transfer RNA is filed under the name Mesorhizobium sp. M8A.F.Ca.ET.021.01.1.1. Its description in RNAcentral is "tRNA-Val". Lineage: Bacteria; Pseudomonadati; Pseudomonadota; Alphaproteobacteria; Hyphomicrobiales; Phyllobacteriaceae. RNAcentral also lists the same sequence under 1 other name. The record is from RNAcentral.
GCUCGCUUAGCUCACUCGGGAGAGCGCCGCUAUGACAUGGCGGAGGUACGCGGAUCGAAACCGUGAGCGAGCACCA